RNAcentral lists this ribosomal RNA (628 nucleotides) under uncultured bacterium. RNAcentral describes it as "bacterial SSU rRNA". It matches the Rfam family "Bacterial small subunit ribosomal RNA", at positions 554 to 1186 of the family's 1533-position model. The record is from RNAcentral.
CUGGGCGUAAGGAUGCGUAGGCGGAUGUUUAAGUGAGAUGUGAAAUACCCGGGCUUAACUUGGGUGCUGCAUUUCAAACUGGAUAUCUAGAGUGCGGGAGAGGAGAAUGGAAUUCCUAGUGUAGCGGUGAAAUGCGUAGAGAUUAGGAAGAACACCAGUGGCGAAGGCGAUUCUCUGGACCGUAACUGACGCUGAGGCAUGAAAGCGUGGGUAGCAAACAGGAUUAGAUACCCUGGUAGUCCACGCCGUAAACGAUGAGUACUAGGUGUAGGAGGGUCCAACCUUCUGUGCCGCAGUUAACACAAUAAGUACUCCGCCUGGGAAGUACGAUCGCAAGAUUAAAACUCAAAGGAAUUGACGGGGGCCCGCACAAGCAGCGGAGCAUGUGGUUUAAUUCGAAGCAACGCGAAGAACCUUACCUGGACUUGACAUCCCCUGAAUAGCCUAGAGAUAGGUGAAGCCCUUCGGGGCAGGGAGACAGGUGGUGCAUGGUUGUCGUCAGCUCGUGUCGUGAGAUGUUAGGUUAAGUCCUGCAACGAGCGCAACCCCUAUCAUUAGUUGCUACCAUUAAGUUGAGCACUCUAGUGAGACUGCCCGGGUUAACCGGGAGGAAGGUGGGGAUGACGUC